GGAGUUUAGUUUUCAUUCAGGAAAGAGAGUUCAACCAGAUUUACCAACAGACCUUUUCAGUAAGCUUUCCAUCAAAUCCGAGCUCCAGUCUACUGAUGGAUCUCGCACAAGAUUGUUUCAACCAAAGGUCUCAAAGGAAAAUAGAAUGAACCCUUUCCAAGCUAGGAAUGAGGUAACAAGAAUGGCAGCAGUAAAACCAGUCUCUUCAGCUGGACAACAGAUACAAUUUAGUAAUAACGGAAUAACUCCCGAAACAAACCAGCAAUGGACCCCUAGGAGGAGCUUAGGCAUUCGCUGAUGGUACAGAUUACACAUUCGUAGGAUCUGGAAUCAUCUCCUUAUAUGUACAUUCGGAUAUCGUUCUCUUCUCAGUCUGA
Non-coding RNA from Camelina sativa (false flax), 377 nucleotides. Lineage: Eukaryota; Viridiplantae; Streptophyta; Magnoliopsida; Brassicales; Brassicaceae. The record is from RefSeq and is a predicted model, not a curated record.